RNAcentral lists this ribosomal RNA (359 nucleotides) under uncultured bacterium. RNAcentral's name for it is "bacterial SSU rRNA". It matches the Rfam family "Bacterial small subunit ribosomal RNA", at positions 9 to 353 of the family's 1533-position model. The record is from RNAcentral.
GAGUUUUGAUCCUGGCUCAGGGAUGAAACGCUAGCUACAGGCUUAACACAUGCAAGUCGAGGGGGCAGCAUGGUCUUAGCUUGCUAAGGCCGAUGGCGACCGGCGCACGGGUGAGUAACACGUAUCCAACCCUGCCGUCUACUCUUGGACAGCCUUCUGAAAGGAAGAUUAAUACAAGAUGGCAUCAUGAGUCCACAUGUUCACAUGAUUAAAGGUAUUCCGGUAGACGAUGGGGGAUGCGUUCCAUUAGAUAGUAGGCGGGGUAACGGCCCACCUAGUCUUCGAUGGAUAGGGGUUCUGAGAGGAAGGUCCCCCACAUUGGAACUGAGACACGGUCCAAACUCCUACGGGAGGCAGCA